AACGAACGCUGGCGGCAUGCCUAACACAUGCAAGUCGAACGAGACCUUCGGGUCUAGUGGCGCACGGGUGCGUAACGCGUGGUAACCUGCCCUUAGGUUCGGAAUAACUCCCCGAAAGGGGUGCUAAUACCGGAUAAUGUCUUUGGACCAAAGAUUUAUCGCCUUUGGAUGGGCCCGCGUUGGAUUAGCUAGUUGGUAGGGUAAAAGCCUACCAAGGCGACGAUCCAUAGCUGGUCUGAGAGGAUGAUCAGCCACACUGGGACUGAGACACGGCCUAGACUCCUACGGGAGGCAGCAGUGGGGAAUAUUGGACAAUGGGCGAAAGCCUGAUCCAGCAAUGCCGCGUGAGUGAUGAAGGCCUUAGGGUUGUAAAGCUCUUUUACCCGGGAUGAUAAUGACAGUACCGGGAGAAUAAGCUCCGGCUAACUCCGUG
Molecule: ribosomal RNA, 433 nt
Filed under: uncultured bacterium
Lineage: Bacteria
Description: partial 16S ribosomal RNA
Rfam family: Bacterial small subunit ribosomal RNA
Source: RNAcentral